RNAcentral lists this long non-coding RNA (271 nucleotides) under Actinidia chinensis (golden kiwifruit). RNAcentral describes it as "long non-coding RNA (ACHI_LNC001957)". Lineage: Eukaryota; Viridiplantae; Streptophyta; Magnoliopsida; Ericales; Actinidiaceae. The record is from RNAcentral.
CUGAAAAAUUAUUUUAAACAGGGAAGUAUACAAUACGACGAGAAUAUGCUCAACGAAUCAAUAAUGGCUCAACAACAAAUGUCAGAGUAGCACAACAAAAUUAAUAUUUCAUCAAAGACCUCAUACCAGGUCUUUCCUGAUACAUUACUAGUUAUCGGCCUCAUCCACGUCUCCAAGCUCUCGGCUUUUCCGGUCCUUAGUGGAACUAUUGGCGGAUCCACUCAGUACAUGUACCAUUCAAUUCCAUAGCAUUUAGCCAUCAAACAAUAAC